CCUACGGGAGGCAGCAGUGAGGAAUAUUGGUCAAUGGGCGCAAGCCUGAACCAGCCAAGUCGCGUGAGGGAUGACGGUCCUAUGGAUUGUAAACCUCUUUUGUCGGGGAGCAAGGCCCGCCACGUGUGGCGGGAAGGAGAGUACCCGCAGAAAAAGCAUCGGCUAACUCCGUGCCAGCAGCCGCGGUAAUACGGAGGAUGCGAGCGUUAUCCGGAUUUAUUGGGUUUAAAGGGUGCGUAGGCGGAAGGUUAAGUCAGCGGUCAAAUGUCGGUGCUCAACACCGGCCUGCCGUUGAAACUGGUCGUCUUGAGUGAGCGAGAAGUAGGCGGAAUGCGUGGUGUAGCGGUGAAAUGCAUAGAUAUCACGCAGAACUCCGAUUGCGAAGGCAGCAUACCGGCGCGCAACUGACGCUGAGGCACGAAAGCGUGGGGAUCGAACAGGAUUAGAUACCCCAGUAGUC
This 460-nucleotide ribosomal RNA is filed under the name uncultured bacterium. Its description in RNAcentral is "partial 16S ribosomal RNA". It matches the Rfam family "Bacterial small subunit ribosomal RNA", at positions 338 to 795 of the family's 1533-position model. The record is from RNAcentral.